CAGUCGCGCGGGAAAACGGAGGGUGCAAGCGUUAAUCGGAAUUACUGGGCGUAAAGCGUGCGUAGGCGGUUCGUUAAGUCUGUUGUGAAAGCCCCGGGCUCAACCUGGGAAUGGCAAUGGAUACUGGCGAGCUAGAGUGUGUCAGAGGAUGGUGGAAUUCCCGGUGUAGCGGUGAAAUGCGUAGAGAUCGGGAGGAACAUCAGUGGCGAAGGCGGCCAUCUGGGACAACACUGACGCUGAGGCACGAAAGCGUGGGGAGCAAACAGGAUUAGAUACCCCCGUAGUCCCUGUCUCUUAUACA
Molecule: ribosomal RNA, 301 nt
Filed under: uncultured bacterium
Lineage: Bacteria
Description: partial 16S ribosomal RNA
Rfam family: Bacterial small subunit ribosomal RNA
Source: RNAcentral